CGUUGUUGGGUAGGGGAGCGUUCUGUAAGCCUGCGAAGGUGGCCUGUGAGGGUUGCUGGAGGUAUCAGAAGUGCGAAUGCUGACAUAAGUAACGAUAAAGCGGGUGAAAAGCCCGCUCGCCGGAAGACCAAGGGUUCCUGUCCAACGUUAAUCGGGGCAGGGUGAGUCGACCCCUAAGGCGAGGCCGAAAGGCGUAGUCGAUGGGAAACGGGUUAAUAUUCCCGUACUUGGUGUUACUGCGAAGGGGGGACGGAGAAGGCUAUGUUGGCCGGGCGACGGUUGUCCCGGUUUAAGCGUGUAGGUGUGUGUUCCAGGUAAAUCCGGUUCACUUUAACACUGAGGCGUGACGACGAGGCACUACGGUGCUGAAGCAACAAAUGCCCUGCUUCCAGGAAAAGCCUCUAAGCAUCAGGUAACAUCAAAUCGUACCCCAAACCGACACAGGUGGUCAGGUAGAGAAUACCAAGGCGCUUGAGAGAACUCGGGUGAAGGAACUAGGCAAAAUGGUGCCGUAACUUCGGGAGAAGGCACGCUGACACGUAGGUGAAGUGAUUUACUCAUGGAGCUGAAGUCAGUCGAAGAUACCAGCUGGCUGCAACUGUUUAUUAAAAACACAGCACUGUGCAAACACGAAAGUGGACGUAUACGGUGUGACGCCUGCCCGGUGCCGGAAGGUUAAUUGAUGGGGUCAGCGCAAGCGAAGCUCCUGAUCGAAGCCCCGGUAAACGGCGGCCGUAACUAUAACGGUCCUAAGGUAGCGAAAUUCCUUGUCGGGUAAGUUCCGACCUGCACGAAUGGCGUAAUGAUGGCCAGGCUGUCUCCACCCGAGACUCAGUGAAAUUGAACUCGCUGUGAAGAUGCAGUGUACCCGCGGCAAGACGGAAAGACCCCGUGAACCUUUACUAUAGCUUGACACUGAACAUUGAGCCUUGAUGUGUAGGAUAGGUGGGAGGCUUUGAAGUGUGGACGCCAGUCUGCAUGGAGCCGACCUUGAAAUACCACCCUUUAAUGUUUGAUGUUCUAACGUGGACCCGUGAUCCGGGUUGCGGACAGUGUCUGGUGGGUAGUUUGACUGGGGCGGUCUCCUCCUAAAGAGUAACGGAGGAGCACGAAGGUUGGCUAAUCCUGGUCGGACAUCAGGAGGUUAGUGCAAUGGCAUAAGCCAGCUUGACUGCGAGCGUGACGGCGCGAGCAGGUGCGAAAGCAGGUCAUAGUGAUCCGGUGGUUCUGAAUGGAAGGGCCAUCGCUCAACGGAUAAAAGGUACUCCGGGGAUAACAGGCUGAUACCGCCCAAGAGUUCAUAUCGACGGCGGUGUUUGGCACCUCGAUGUCGGCUCAUCACAUCCUGGGGCUGAAGUAGGUCCCAAGGGUAUGGCUGUUCGCCAUUUAAAGUGGUACGCGAGCUGGGUUUAGAACGUCGUGAGACAGUUCGGUCCCUAUCUGCCGUGGGCGCUGGAGAACUGAGGGGGGCUGCUCCUAGUACGAGAGGACCGGAGUGGACGCAUCACUGGUGUUCGGGUUGUCAUGCCAAUGGCACUGCCCGGUAGCUAAAUGCGGAAGAGAUAAGUGCUGAAAGCAUCUAAGCACGAAACUUGCCCCGAG
RNAcentral lists this ribosomal RNA (1602 nucleotides) under Salmonella enterica. RNAcentral's name for it is "partial 23S ribosomal RNA". It matches the Rfam family "Bacterial large subunit ribosomal RNA", at positions 1219 to 2803 of the family's 2925-position model. The record is from RNAcentral. Lineage: Bacteria; Pseudomonadati; Pseudomonadota; Gammaproteobacteria; Enterobacterales; Enterobacteriaceae.